CGUGAGAUGUUGGGUUAAGUCCCGCAACGAGCGCAACCCCUAUUGUUAGUUGCUACGCAAGAGCACUCUAGCGAGACUGCCGUUGACAAAACGGAGGAAGGUGGGGACGACGUCAAAUCAUCAUGCCCCUUAUAUCCUGGGCUACACACGUAAUACAAUGGCGGUCAACAGAGGGAAGCAAAGCCGCGAGGCAGAGCAAACCCCCAAAAGCCGUCCCAGUUCGGAUUGUAGGCUGCAACUCGCCUGCAUGAAGUCGAAGA
Molecule: ribosomal RNA, 260 nt
Filed under: uncultured bacterium
Lineage: Bacteria
Description: partial 16S ribosomal RNA
Rfam family: Bacterial small subunit ribosomal RNA
Source: RNAcentral